UACGUAGGCAGCAAGCGUUGUUCGGAGUUACUGGGCGUAAAGGGUGCGUAGGCGGCUUGGUAAGUGUGGUGUGAAAUCUCCCGGCUCAACUGGGAGGGUGCGCUACAAACUGCAGGGCUAGAGUCCGGAAGAGGCGAGUGGAAUUCCUGGUGUAGCGGUGGAAUGCGCAGAUAUCAGGAGGAACACCAAUAGCGAAGGCAGCUCGCUGGGACGGUACUGACGCUAAGGCGCGAAAAGCGUGGGGAGCGAACAGG
Molecule: ribosomal RNA, 254 nt
Filed under: uncultured bacterium
Lineage: Bacteria
Description: partial 16S ribosomal RNA
Rfam family: Bacterial small subunit ribosomal RNA
Source: RNAcentral